GAUAGCAAACAAGUACCGCGAGGGAAAGAUGAAAAGGACUUUGAAAAGAGAGUCAAAGAGUGCUUGAAAUUGUCGGGAGGGAAGCGAAUGGGGGCCGGCGAUGCGUCCCGGUCGGAUGUGGAACGGUGUAAGUCGGUCCGCCGAUCGGCUCGGGACGUGGACCGGUGCGGAUUGGUACGGCGGCCAAAGCCCAGGCUGUUGAUAUGCCUGUGGAGAUGUCGUUGUGCCGAUCGUGGUUGGCAGCGCGUGUGACAACUCGAACCUUCGACUUACUUCGUGUAACGAUACGUGUUAA
Molecule: long non-coding RNA, 295 nt
Filed under: Helianthus annuus (common sunflower)
Lineage: Eukaryota; Viridiplantae; Streptophyta; Magnoliopsida; Asterales; Asteraceae
Rfam family: Eukaryotic large subunit ribosomal RNA
Source: RNAcentral